GGGGAUGUAAUGGUUUCGACAUGUAGUAGGUAGUGUUCGCAUCAGUGGUGUAGUAGACCAUAAAUACUUCUAGGCUUUAUAGUCGCAAACAAAAACAAAAAAGCUCACGUUGGGCUACAAAAUUUAGUAAUUGCAAAUCAAUUACAAUCAAAUCUAGCUUUCGCUUAAUUCUGCGAACUAGUGCAUUAUCGUUAGAGCCUAAGAACGAUAGUGUGGUAAUUUAGGCUCGGUUUUUUCUCGUGCUUAGAAAAAACUUAAAUUGAAUGCACACUAAAAGUCAAGAGUUUUGUUUAUUUCCUUUAACUUUUAGCACUAAUAAAUAAACUAAACUGUAAAAAGUGCAAACACAUCUUGUUAUGUGGACGCGGGUUCAACUCCCGUCAUCUCCACCA
RNAcentral lists this transfer-messenger RNA (392 nucleotides) under Mycoplasmopsis californica. Its description in RNAcentral is "Standard tmRNA". It matches the Rfam family "transfer-messenger RNA". Rfam says of the family: Bacterial tmRNA, also known as 10Sa RNA or SsrA, is named for its dual tRNA and mRNA-like properties. Its role is to liberate the mRNA from a stalled ribosome. The record is from Rfam by way of RNAcentral. Lineage: Bacteria; Bacillati; Mycoplasmatota; Mycoplasmoidales; Metamycoplasmataceae.